AACGCACAUUGCGCCCCUUGGUAUUCCGGGGGGCAUGCCUGUUCGAGCGUCAUUAUCACCCCUCAAGCUCAGCUUGGUGUUGGGGCCUGCCCGUCACAGGGCAGCCCUUAAAAGCAGUGGCGGUGCCUCUGGGCUCUACGCGUAGUAAUACUUCUCGCGACGGAGUCCCGGUGGUGUCCAGCCAGAACCCCCCAUUUCUCAUGAUUGACCUCGGAUCAGGUAGGGAUACCCGCUGAACUUAA
Molecule: unclassified non-coding RNA, 242 nt
Filed under: uncultured Ascomycota
Lineage: Eukaryota; Fungi; Ascomycota
Description: sequence contains ITS2
Source: RNAcentral